GAGGAAGAACGUAGCGAAAUGCGAUAAGUAAUGUGAAUUGCAGAAUUCAGUGAAUCAUCGAAUCUUUGAACGCACCUUGCGCCCUUUGGCUAUUCCGAAGGGCAUGCCUGUUUGAGUAUCGUGAACACCUCAACUCUCAUGGUUUGCCAUGAUGAGCUUGGACUUUGGGGGUUUUGCUGGCCUUUGGUCGGCUCCUCUCAAACGGAUCAGCUUUCCAGUGUUUGGUGGCGUCACGGGUGUGAUAACUAUCUACGCCUGUGGUUUUCUGCCAGAUAACCUUCAGCGAUGGAGGUUCGCUGGGGCUCAUAAAUGUCUCUCUUCAGUGGAGACAGCUUUUUGGACGUUUGAUCUCAAAUCAGGUAGGACUACCCGCUGAACUUAAGCAUAUCAAUAAGCGGAGGA
Molecule: unclassified non-coding RNA, 402 nt
Filed under: soil metagenome
Description: partial contains 5.8S ribosomal RNA, internal transcribed spacer 2, and large subunit ribosomal RNA
Rfam family: 5.8S ribosomal RNA (bases 1-121)
Source: RNAcentral